AAAAGAUAGCACAUAACAUAUAAUUAUCCAUAUAUUGUUCAUAUGUGUGUAGAUAUAAGUCCAUAUAUCUAGAUAUAAAUCCAUAUAUCUUACAAGUUGUUGUUCUUGCAUAAGGGUUCUCUUUAGCAUAGUAAGCCACAGAACCUAGGGUUCCUUGACUCAUCUCUCUCAUAGUCGUCGGCCCCCAGGUCAUCUCUCGAACAAUUACCAAGUAAUCUCUUUGUUCUCCCUGUCUCUUCUCCUUUUGGUUGCAAUUUAAACUUGUGGGGAAGAAAUUUUUGAUUUUUUUUUACUCCAAUUAUCAUUGAAUAAGUUAUUAGAUUACUAGUUCUAUUUUACUUGUAAAUUGCCUCUUCGAUCUGAAUCAUUCUUUGUAAGGAUUAACAAUUUUUGUCAUAUAGCAUGAUAUAAGAUAAGAUCUAACUGAUAAAUGCUUAAUUACAAAUCUUAGUGUGAAAAUUAGAAUGAUGGAGAUGGAACUUUUUGGUGAGGUGUGGGGGGNNNNNNNNNNNNNNNNNNNNNNNNNNNNNNNNNNNNNNNNNNNNNNNNNNNNNNNNNNNNNNNNNNNNNNNNNNNNNNNNNNNNNNNNNNNNNNNNNNNNNNNNNNNNNNNNNNNNNNNNNNNNNNNNNNNNNNNNNNNNNNNNNNNNNNNNNNNNNNNNNNGGGGGGGGGGGGGUUGGAGAUACAGAGAAUGGAAUCUUUGAUGUGGAACAAAAAAUUAAAUUUUGAUAAGAGUAUUUACACAAAAUUAGAUGACCUUACAGAGAUACGGUAGUUUUCCCAUUGUCUCUGCCAAAUUUACCUUCUUCUUGUCUUUUAAAUCCUUUCUGCUGAAAGGGCUAAAAUAAGGGUUCUUCUUGUCUGUUAAUAAUUACUUACUUUAUUUAAGUUAUUUGUUUUACUUAGUAGAAACAAUUAAUUUUAAUUACAUUUAUAUGAUAUGAUAACAUUAAAAGGAAGUUUACAAUAUUAGUGUAUAAACAUUAAACUUUUCAUUAUUAUGCCUAACAUUACACACUAUUAGCUAAAUAUAUUUAUAUGAUAUGAUAAUAUUAAAAGAAAGUUUACAAUAUUAGUGUAUAAAAAUUAAACUUUUUAUUAUUAUGCCUAACAUUUCACACUAAUAGCUAAAUAUUUAUUUUAUAGUCAAUAGGAAGUAAGAAAAUAUAAUUGAGCAGUGAUAAUUAUUUUCAUUGAACAUAUAUAUCGUUAUGGUUUAAUUGUUAUUUUAAUGUCUAAACUAUUAAUAGCCCUUCUAAUCAUGAAAUAAAAAAACUAAAGUGUGCUAAAAUAAUCAAAAGUUAUGACCUAUCCCAACUUGAAUUUUAUACAUAAUUAAUCCUGGUGCUUUUCAUUAUAUAGAGCUUAUUGUAGAGGCAGUUAACUUCCGUAAUUUAUUUUAUUAUCGACUUACUUCUAGAAUUUAUUUGUUGUGUCUUAGAUUAUGUGCUUAUGAUUUAUGUUUCUUUGCCUAUGAUUUAUGUUUCUUUGCCUAUUACAGCCUCUCUACCCCAGGGUAGGGGUAAGGCUGCGUACACACUACCCUCCCCAGACACCACUGAGUGGUAUUGUACUGGGUCGUACUUUACUUUUUUGCCUAUUACAUUCUAAGGAGCAUUAGAGUAACGGUUAAAGUUACUUUUGUGAAAAUAACUUUUUUAUAGAAAUACAAGAUAAGAUUGCGUACAAUAGGCUUUUGUGAUCUGACCUUUCUCCAAACCCUACAUAUAACAAGAGCUUGUUGCACUAGACUGCCUUUUUUAAUGCCUAUUACUUUUUAGGCCGGAAUUCUAAGAUAGCUCUGUCUACCCUUUAAAAUAGUGAAGAUAUGAAUGUCUAGUUUGGUUUUACUUUUAUUUGAUUAUUUUUUGUCCUCUAUAAUGCUGAAUCUUGGCGCUUAAUGAGUUAUAUAUGUAUAUUUUCCAAUUCAAACAUAAAAGAGAUCAGGUAUUUGUCUUUGUGUGCAUAGUUUAGAUCAUAAAAGAUGUGUCAAGUGUCAUUCAUUAAGUUUGACAAUUAAAAUUGUGUUGACAUGCAGUUUAGUUAAUUUUACAAUUAAUGCACUGAAAUCCGAAUGCAUUUAGUUUAUAUAUAUAUAUAUAUAUAUAUAUAUAUAUAUAUCUUAUGGUUUUCCACCCUAUUUGCAAGACAAUGGACAAUAUGGUUCUUGAUUCAAUGGGAAGAAGAAGAACUUGUCUUGCUAAAGAAUGGGAACCAUAACNAAAUAUAUAUAUAUAUAUAUAUAUAUAUAUAUAUAUAUAUAUAUAUAGCUAUAUGUUGCAUUAAGUGUAAGAACUUCGAAUCAAGACACACCUUAAGGUAGAGUAUAAAUUAAUUUCGCACAAAUAUACUUGUUAGUAUUUUCUUUGAGUCGGAAAUGGACUUUCAUUAACUUCUCUUUCUUUAGAUUUCUUUAAGGUUAAUGCUUUCUCUGUUGGAAGGUUCUAAUAUUCCAACUACAUCCUAAAGAAAAUUAUUUUUAUAUACAAUAGUUUCUAUUAUUUUUCAUUUCAUAUAAAAUGAGUGAAACUUGUAUUCAUUAAAUGUCGAGUUUUGCAUUAUUUUACUGCUGUAAAACUUAAGUCUUGCUCUGACAUCUUGUCUAGCAAAAUAAAAGAAUUUAAUAUAUGAGUACUUAAUUAAAUACAGUUUGACAGUAUAGAGUUUGGUGCAUUAUACUACUCUCCAUUUUGAUAUGGCUAUGACUCAGUAUAAAAAGGCAUAAUUUCAACCUUAGCUAUGAACUUUGGUGUACACAAUUCAUCAGCAAGUUCUAGAUUCAUUGCCUAUGGAGCCUGAGGAAAAAUCUCAAAUUGUCUUAUAUAGAUACAAUAGUCUAUUGAAAUAUAUGUUACUCAGACUCUCCCACGUCUCAUAUAGAUACUUGUCACUUCUAUUUAUUUGUACGAAUGUUCUAAGGUUAAUCACUGGUAACUAUAAUUUAAUAACUUAAAGAAAAUCUUAGAUCAUUCACGAUACUGAUUAAUAAUCUUAGAUGAUUUACAAUAUAUUAGAACUCUUACUUGUGAACUUCACCACCUCUUUUGCAAGAAUAAUUAGCUUCAUGACAGAAAUUGUAAUCCUAGUCUCAUUAAAAAAGUCAUACUAGCCAAAACAUUCCCCCAUAGCUAAUAGAGGGGUCUAUUGAGAAAAUGUCUACUUGAUGGUAGUUGAGGAAACAACAUGGAUCUUGAGCAAGAAAAUAUAAAGACUCAAUAAAAGUUUUCGAAAACUAAAAGAAAGUAAUAUCUGUAGCAGUGAAUUUUGUUAUCAGUUCUUCCUUUAAUUGUCUUGAUGACUUCUUAGUUGUUCUGCCUCCACAUCCUUUUACAGUCUCAGUUGUUAGUCGUUCGUCUAUGAUUAUGAUAACAUAAUUGUGACACCAUACGAAAGAAUAAGUUUCCUUGUUACUGAAUGUUUCUUGCUUGUAAUAUCAGAUUAUUCACACUUCUUGCAAUGUUUUUAUACAUGAAAUUUUAUAUUUUGAUGUAUUUAUUUUAUUAUUUCAGGUCAUAUGUUCUAAUGUUCGAAAAUUUCGCAUGUGAAAGCUUUCAAUAUGAUGAAGAGUUGCGGAAAUUAUUUGAAGUCAUUAUUGAUAGGAUUGGUUAUAUUAGUACGAACAAUAUAAGUUUUGCUUUUAAGUUGUGACGUUAUUAUUUUGGUUUACUCUUUUCUUUUGUUUGUUUUAGAUUUAGUAAGUUACUUUUCGAAUUAAUAGUAAUAUAUUUUUAGUGUCAAACUUCUUUACCACCAAGAGGCUCUUUUUACUAAUAAUUUUCUUAGAUUUACUAGUAAUGUUUGUUUUAGAUUUAGUAAGUUACUUUUUUUAAGUUGUGACGUUAUUAUUUUGGUUUACUCUUUUCUUUUGUUUGUUUUAGAUUUAGUAAGUUACUUUACGAAUUAAUAAUAAUAUAAUCUUAGUGUCAAACUUCUCUAC
RNAcentral lists this long non-coding RNA (3937 nucleotides) under Nicotiana benthamiana. RNAcentral describes it as "long non-coding RNA (NBEN_LNC038715)". The record is from RNAcentral. Lineage: Eukaryota; Viridiplantae; Streptophyta; Magnoliopsida; Solanales; Solanaceae.